This is a long non-coding RNA of Myotis daubentonii (Daubenton's bat), 183 nucleotides long. RefSeq lists it as uncharacterized. The record is from RefSeq and is a predicted model, not a curated record. Lineage: Eukaryota; Metazoa; Chordata; Mammalia; Chiroptera; Vespertilionidae.
AAGGAGACCAUGACCUUACCUUGGUCUAAACAGAAACAUGCUGGGAAAAGCCCAGCUAAAGGCUUCUUGACAAUUCCUUGAAAAAAGCUGGUAUACAAAAAGUGAGACUCUCUGAACGGAUACUACAGAUGGGAAUAGAGACAAGAAGUUGAAGGCGUGUCUGCUUGGUGGCGGGUGGGCGGG